CGACGCGACCGAGGCCCCGAGAAGCAGGAAGAGGAUGAAGGACGCGAGGAGCACAAAGAGUUCCACGGAGUGAUCCUCGCUUCAGGGUUUCCAGCGCAGCAUGCCGCGCAGCACGUAGAAGAGGGCGAUUGCCGAGCCGACGGGCACGGCGAGAUAGAAGAUCACCUGCGGCAUGUCGGGCAUGGUGUAAAAGCUGGCAUUGCGCUGUUUCCAGGCGACGAGGGUGCCGGAGUAGAGCAGCGCUCCGACCGCGACCGCCUCAACCAGCCGCCGCAGCAGGUCCGCGGCCCGCCCGACCUUCCUGCCGAACAGGCUCAUUACCGCGUCGACCCUGAUAUGUGAGUCACGGGCAAACGCCGCCGCAGCUCCGAGAAACGUGAUCCAUACGAAGAGAUAACGUCCGACUUCCUCCGCCCAGGUCUGCGGACUGU
RNAcentral lists this unclassified non-coding RNA (431 nucleotides) under plant metagenome. RNAcentral describes it as "partial contains 5.8S ribosomal RNA, internal transcribed spacer 2, and large subunit ribosomal RNA". The record is from RNAcentral.